Molecule: long non-coding RNA, 212 nt
Filed under: Nicotiana benthamiana
Lineage: Eukaryota; Viridiplantae; Streptophyta; Magnoliopsida; Solanales; Solanaceae
Description: long non-coding RNA (NBEN_LNC004042)
Source: RNAcentral
UUUGCACCUCUUUUUCACAAAUAGAGGCAUGUGAAUCAAGAUGAGAUAAUGAUGGAUUUUUUCACAAAAUUUCCCGUUUGGUUUCAUCAACUUCUCCCCUUAAUUUUGGGAAAAGUGACUCAUCGACAGUCUGCAAAUCGUGCAGUGAACAAAUCCCCUGUCAAUGUUUCGAGGUAGCGAAUAAUGGAGGGCGAUUCAAACCCAACAUAUAU